Non-coding RNA from Oncorhynchus mykiss (rainbow trout), 919 nucleotides. The record is from RefSeq and is a predicted model, not a curated record. NCBI's taxonomy places the organism in Eukaryota, Metazoa, Chordata, Actinopteri, Salmoniformes, Salmonidae.
CUUGGAGUUACAUUGUGUUGUUUAAAUGUUCCCUUUAUUUUUUUGAGCAGUGUAAUUCUGGCCACAUGUUGACUCAGUGGUGCUUCUCCGUGCAGGUCGUGGGACCAGGGAGAGAGGCACACUCUGUAAACAAGAAUAGGUGCAUCACCUGUUACUGAGCUGGCAAACAUUAAGCGUGUGCCCUUGGGCCACUACUCUACUACCACAUGUCUACAACACAAAAUCCUUGUGUGUGCAUGUGUCUCUUCACAGUCCCCGCUGUUACAUAAGAUCUGCCAACCGGCUCGGCGUGUGACAGGUAACAGUCUUUCCACCAAGCUGUUCCAGGCCUGGAGUGGCAGGCUGGAACUUCCAGAGUCGUGUAGACCUGAAGCAGUGUGAUGUGGUCCAGGUAUUUAUCACACACAGAUCUGACACCCCUAUUAGCUCAACCACAGUCUUCACAGCUGCAGGUGUCUGCCCCGGCAUCUGCUACACCGGCCACGACACGUGAUACAGAUCUGCCCCCCCCCCCCCUCCCCCCUUUGAGGAUUCCCACAUGGAUACAGGUCUGCCAUGCACUUCACCACCACUGCCACUCCCAGAAGUACAUACACUGGGCCUAUCAGGACUGACAAAGCAGAGAUGGGGGGCUGGCAAGGGAAAAUAAAACAUGCACUCACACACAUUAUCCACAAUGCAAAUCAGUUGUAAUAACUUGUUUAUUUUAUGUAUGCUCCAUUUUAUUUGAGAAAAAUAUCUGCAAUAAAGUACCUUCACAGUUAAAGCAAUGUCUUUGGUUUAUUAGAUAUUUCUCUGAAUACAAUGUGUGACCAGAAGGAAGUUGGCAGACCUGCAACCCUUGGACUGUGUGCAGGUUGUCAUCUUGUAACGGAAUUCCUCUUCUUCAGAGGAGGAGUAGCAAGGAUCAGACCAAUGU